CCUACGGGUGGCUGCAGUGGGGAAUAUUGGACAAUGUGCGCAAGCCUGAUCCAGCAAUGCCGCGUGUGUGAAGAAGGCCUGCGGGUUGUAAAGCACUUUGAGUGGGGAAGAAGGCCUGGGGGUUAAUAGCUUCUGGGAUUGACGUUACCCACAGAACAAGCACCGGCUAACUCCGUGCCAGCAGCCGCGGUAAUACGGAGGGUGCGAGCGGGAAUCGGAAUUACUGGGCGUAAAGCGCGCGUACGGGUGUGAAAGCCCUGGGCUUAACCUGGGAACUGCAUUGGAUACUGUUUGACUGGAGUGUGGUAGAGGGGUGUGGAAUUUCCGGUGUAGCAGUGAAAUGCGUAGAGAUCGGAAGGAACACCAGUGGCGAAGGCGGCACCCUGGACCGACACUGACGCUGAGGUGCGAAAGCGUGGGGAGCAAACAGGAUUAGAUACCCUAGUAGUC
This 450-nucleotide ribosomal RNA is filed under the name uncultured bacterium. Its description in RNAcentral is "partial 16S ribosomal RNA". It matches the Rfam family "Bacterial small subunit ribosomal RNA", at positions 338 to 795 of the family's 1533-position model. The record is from RNAcentral.